Molecule: ribosomal RNA, 392 nt
Filed under: uncultured bacterium
Lineage: Bacteria
Description: partial 16S ribosomal RNA
Rfam family: Bacterial small subunit ribosomal RNA
Source: RNAcentral
AUACGGAAGGUCCGGGCGUUAUCCGGAUUUAUUGGGUUUAAAGGGAGCGUAGGCCGCAUGUUAAGCGUGCUGUGAAAUGUCGGGGCUCAACCUGGGCAGCGCAGCGCGAACUGGCUUGCUUGAGUGCGCGGAAGGGAGGCGGAAUUCGUGGUGUAGCGGUGAAAUGCUUAGAUAUCACGAAGAACUCCGAUUGCGAAGGCAGCUUCCCGCAGCGCUACUGACGCUGAAGCUCGAAGGUGCGGGUAUCGAACAGGAUUAGAUACCCUGGUAGUCCGCACGGUAAACGAUGGAUGCCCGCUGUGCGCCUUAUUGGCGCGUGGCCAAGCGAAAGCGUUAAGCAUCCCACCUGGGGAGUACGCCGGCAACGGUGAAACUUAAAGGAAUUGACGGGG